Molecule: non-coding RNA, 479 nt
Organism: Spodoptera litura
Lineage: Eukaryota; Metazoa; Arthropoda; Insecta; Lepidoptera; Noctuidae
Source: RefSeq, a predicted model, not a curated record
AUUUCAAGAUCAGUGGACUUGCUCUUGGCCUAAUUACUCUAGUCAUAUUUAUACAAAUAACAAUCAAUCAUAACGACGAGCGUACGUGCGUCCUGGCGCACGAUUGGUGCUCACUUUUGCUUCAUUAAACCCGUCCGCGCCAUCUGCAUUUACGUUAUCACAAGUAACAGUCAAAACUGCUCUCUGGAAUACUUCAAGGAAAUCUACAAAGAAUAGUGAAUUGUCGACUACAAAAGAACUACUAAACAAUGCAACUAAUUCUACAUCUACUAGAUCUAGAAGAUUCUACGACAGUUGUGCAGUUUGACGAACUCUAAGUGCUUGUGCUUGUGCAUCUACCACUCCUGUAGACAUUAUCAUUGUGCAUUGUGCAAAUAUCCUGUGCAUACACUGAAUGACCUGCCAAGAGAAUGGAACCACUGGGGGUUCUUCUUUCUUUUCCGGUUCUGGAGUUUCUAUUGACGGUACCUGAUGAUAUA